AGCUAAUUGAACCACCUUUUAAAAUAAUUCAGUUUGCCACCUGAGACAAGGGCAGGACUAGUGCCAGAGAAAUUAGGGUAAUGUUUUGGAUCAGAAAACAAGCUUUCAGAGUCUGGUAUGAGCAGUCCUAUUCCCUAAAUCUCCAGAAGUAGUAGCUUACUUUUCCUGAGGGAAAUUUUAAUUCCCAGGGAUGACCAACACCUUUAUUAUUUUUAGAUUAAAUUAAGAUAAUUAUUUGUAGAUUAAAGAAGAAUAAGAGAACACCAAUAAAGACAGAAUGAUUUUUUAAAAAUGAAGAAUGACAACUCUAUCUUAGAUCAAGAUAUUAGUUAAGUGUUAAGGUGCAUAAACGCUGUAGUGCAUACUUUCUGAUCUGGCUCAUGCCCCAUCUUCUGCUGUUCUCUAAGUUCCAGCUACACAGACUUUCAGUUCUUUGAACAACCUUGUUCUAUUCCUUUAUGUCCCAAGGCCUUUUCCUUAGCUCUUCCCUCCAUAGAUUGAAUACUCUUCUUUUUCUUACCUUUACCCCUAAACGCAUACACCCAUGCAUGCACAUACGCAGGCAUGCGCAUUCAUUCUUUUGAUUUUGUUCUACAUUGUUGUUUCCUUGUGGAGAGAAUUCUCUAUUUUUGUUCAUGCCGUGGGCAAUUUCUUCGCCCUAAGAUAGGAAUCAUGAAAAUCAGCCCACCAUGUGGGAUUCUGGGAGGUAAAGCAUUUUAGACAGAUAAAAAGAACAAGUGCAAGUGGCCAGAAGUUGGAUCAAGCAAAAAUUAUGAAAUAUGUCAGUACCAAGUGGGCUA
RNAcentral lists this long non-coding RNA (800 nucleotides) under Marmota monax (woodchuck). The record is from RNAcentral. Lineage: Eukaryota; Metazoa; Chordata; Mammalia; Rodentia; Sciuridae.